This 952-nucleotide ribosomal RNA is filed under the name uncultured bacterium. RNAcentral's name for it is "bacterial SSU rRNA". It matches the Rfam family "Bacterial small subunit ribosomal RNA", at positions 519 to 1482 of the family's 1533-position model. The record is from RNAcentral.
GGUAAUACGAAGGGACCUAGCGUAGUUCGGAAUUACUGGGCUUAAAGAGUUCGUAGGUGGUUGAAAUAGUUGGUGGUGAAAUCCCAGAGCUUAACUCUGGAACUGCCAUCAAAACUUUUCAGCUAGAGUAUGAUAGAGGAAAGCAGAAUUUCUAGUGUAGAGGUGAAAUUCGUAGAUAUUAGAAAGAAUACCAAUUGCGAAGGCAGCUUUCUGGAUCAUUACUGACACUGAGGAACGAAAGCAUGGGUAGCGAAGAGGAUUAGAUACCCUCGUAGUCCAUGCCGUAAACGAUGUGUGUUAGACGUUGGAAAUUUAUUUUCAGUGUCGCAGGGAAACCGAUAAACACACCGCCUGGGGAGUACGACCGCAAGGUUAAAACUCAAAUGAAUUGACGGGGACCCGCACAAGUAGUGGAGCAUGUGGUUUAAUUCGAAGAUACGCGCAGAACCUUACCAACACUUGACAUGUUCGUCGCGACUCUAAGAGAUUAGAGUUUUCGGUUCGGCCGGACGAAACACAGGUGCUGCAUGGCUGUCGUCAGCUCGUGUCGUGAGAUGUUGGGUUAAGUCCCGCAACGAGCGCAACCCUCACUUUUAGUUGCCAUCAUUAAGUUGGGCACUCUGAAAGAACUGCCAGUGAUAAGCUGGAGGAAGGUGGGGAUGACGUCAAGUCCUCAUGGCCCUUACGUGUUGGGCUACACACGUGCUACAAUGGUAUCUACAACAGGAAGCAAGACUGCGAAGUUAAGCAAAUCCCUAAAAGAUACCUCAGUUCGGAUUGCACUCUGCAACUCGAGUGCAUGAAGCUGGAAUUACUAGUAAUCGUGGAUCAGCGUGCCACGGUGAAUGCGUUCCCGGGUCUUGUACACACCGCCCGUCACACCAUGGGAGUUGGUUCUACCUUAAGGCAAGGUUUUAAACCCUUGACCACGGUAUAGUCAGCGACUGGGGUG